RNAcentral lists this ribosomal RNA (497 nucleotides) under uncultured Desulfobulbus sp. RNAcentral describes it as "bacterial SSU rRNA". It matches the Rfam family "Bacterial small subunit ribosomal RNA", at positions 891 to 1382 of the family's 1533-position model. The record is from RNAcentral. Lineage: Bacteria; Pseudomonadati; Thermodesulfobacteriota; Desulfobulbia; Desulfobulbales; Desulfobulbaceae.
GCUCAGAAACUUAAAGGAAGUUGACGGGGCCCGCGACAAGCGGUGGAGUAUGUGGUUUAAUUCGAUGCAACGCGAAGAACCUUACCUGGUCUUGACAUCCCGGAGACCCUUAGGAAACUAGGGGUGCUUCCAUCUGGAAGAAUCUGGAGACAGGUGCUGCAUGGCUGUCGUCAGCUCGUGUCGUGAGAUGUUGGGUUAAGUCCCGCAACGAGCGCAACCCUUGCCUUUAGUUGCCAGCAGUUCGGCUGGGCACUCUAAAGGGACUGCCGGUGUUAAACCGGAGGAAGGUGGGGAUGACGUCAAGUCCUCAUGGCCUUUAUGACCAGGGCUACACACGUACUACAAUGGCCGAUACAAAGGGCAGCGACACUGCGAGGUGAAGCCAAUCCCGUAAAAUCGGUCUCAGUCCGGAUUGGAGUCUGCAACUCGACUCCAUGAAGUUGGAAUCGCUAGUAAUCGUGGAUCAGCAUGCCACGGUGAAUACGUUCCCGGGCCUU